Molecule: small RNA, 28 nt
Filed under: Bombyx mori (domestic silkworm)
Lineage: Eukaryota; Metazoa; Arthropoda; Insecta; Lepidoptera; Bombycidae
Description: ovarian small RNA-31747
Source: RNAcentral
UGACGCCGAAGACGGCAACGACGACGAC